AACCAAUGAUGAAACCGUAACUUGCCAGUUCUGCUUCUGAACACAUUGAUGUUACACGUUACAAAUUUCUGACAC
Molecule: small nucleolar RNA, 75 nt
Filed under: Ciona intestinalis (vase tunicate)
Lineage: Eukaryota; Metazoa; Chordata; Ascidiacea; Phlebobranchia; Cionidae
Source: RNAcentral